This 765-nucleotide ribosomal RNA is filed under the name uncultured Streptococcus sp. RNAcentral's name for it is "bacterial SSU rRNA". It matches the Rfam family "Bacterial small subunit ribosomal RNA", at positions 28 to 776 of the family's 1533-position model. The record is from RNAcentral. Lineage: Bacteria; Bacillati; Bacillota; Bacilli; Lactobacillales; Streptococcaceae.
GACGAACGCUGGCGGCGUGCCUAAUACAUGCAAGUAGAACGCUGAAGAGAGGAGCUUGCUCUUCUUGGAUGAGUUGCGAACGGGUGAGUAACGCGUAGGUAACCUGCCUGGUAGCGGGGGAUAACUAUUGGAAACGAUAGCUAAUACCGCAUAAAAUGGAUUAUCGCAUGAUAAUCCAUUGAAAGGUGCAAAUGCAUCACUACCAGAUGGACCUGCGUUGUAUUAGCUAGUUGGUGGGGUAACGGCUCACCAAGGCGACGAUACAUAGCCGACCUGAGAGGGUGAUCGGCCACACUGGGACUGAGACACGGCCCAGACUCCUACGGGAGGCAGCAGUAGGGAAUCUUCGGCAAUGGAUGGAAGUCUGACCGAGCAACGCCGCGUGAGUGAAGAAGGUUUUCGGAUCGUAAAGCUCUGUUGUAAGAGAAGAACGAGUGUGAGAGUGGAAAGUUCACACUGUGACGGUAUCUUACCAGAAAGGGACGGCUAACUACGUGCCAGCAGCCGCGGUAAUACGUAGGUCCCGAGCGUUGUCCGGAUUUAUUGGGCGUAAAGCGAGCGCAGGCGGUUAGAUAAGUCUGAAGUUAAAGGCUGUGGCUUAACCAUAGUACGCUUUGGAAACUGUUUAACUUGAGUGCAAGAGGGGAGAGUGGAAUUCCAUGUGUAGCGGUGAAAUGCGUAGAUAUAUGGAGGAACACCGGUGGCGAAAGCGGCUCUCUGGCUUGUAACUGACGCUGAGGCUCGAAAGCGUGGGGAGCAAACAGG